CUGAGUACAAACAUCAGGGAUUCAGACAUUCCAAGCUGAUCUUCUACCUUGCAGGCUUCAAAUCCAUCUUAUCUUAAAAGAAUGCAUCCCCUUUUAUCUACUUUUUUUUAAAAAAAGAAUCCUUGCAAGUACCCUGGCUGAGAACUUAAAGGAAAUCGUCUGAAAGUCGAACAUUUGUCUUCAUCACGGUUUUCCAAACGAAGGGAAAAACUCAGCCAAAACGCAUCAACUUUCAGAGACCAAGAGAAGCUGAUGAACGUGACCCGGAUGUUCCCGUGGGAGAGCGAAAAGGCCUAAAAACCACAGAAGCUCAGGACUUGCGCCCAUGGCCGCCUGCACAGCCAGCAGAAAUAGGGGGAGCGGAAGGCCCCACCCCACAGGCCAGAGAAGGGCCCUGGGCCGAGAGAAGACAAGAGCUGCCCAGAAGAUUAUGGAAAGCCCGAAGCACACAGAGCCCACCUGGAGAAGUGGAGGGGUGCUCAGACGCUGCCCGCAGGUCACUCUGUGGAGCUGGUGAGGUUCCCGGAUGAUGAUCAGUGGCUGUGGUGGAAAGUGGAGGUGAAGUUAACACCUUCACGGCUACAGAUUUUCCUUAGCAGAGCUGUGGAGUGUGACAAUGGUGUUUGUGUCCAAACUAUCAAACGCCAUUAUCACACUAAAUAGCUACUGUUAGGCAAUCCUUCCACUCAGUGAAGGCCUUGGCAUCUGUUAGGUUUGGGCAAGAAGGCUCAUCUUGUAGCAGUGCUCUCAAUCAUGUGUAAUUACUGAAUAAAUUCCGGUCCUUUUGUGCUCAUAACCAAUAUGUCAUCUGAACUUUGCCUCUCACAUGCCAUUGUUAAAUACUUUAGCCGAUGAUGAAUUGUCUUGUUUUCCUGAGUCAAUAGAAAGAUUGCCGUGUUCCCCAGAGCACCCAGCAGAAGGCUAGGCACAUAGGAAUUGUUCAACCCAUGCUUAUUGAGUUGAAAUGAAUAGUUAGGAAAAUGUUAGAUGCCAAAAACUAAAACUGGAUUAAAGCUAGGUUGUGAAAACCACAGGCUUAUGGAUGCAAAAUUAAGGUUUGUCGGUCCUUCACGUUGCAUCAUAAAAAACAACUUUCUGAUAACUUACACAUGUCUCUUAACUGACCUUUCAGAAAUUCUAGAACAUGUGUGAUUUCUACUGAUUUUAAUCAAUUGCCAGGCUGAUUACUGAAUUUGUGUGCUGGAUUCUUAUUCCUUAUGUUUCGAUGAAUCACCAUCAGGAAAUUAUACACGAACUAUGUGUGCGUUGCCAUGGCAAACCUGAACAUUUUAAACCCAUGCAGCUUCUGGGACAAUUGGACCAGCUGGGUGGUCUGGUUUGAAACACAUCCUUUCUCUGACAGGCAUGUAAAGUAAGGAGUAGAUUCUGUUUGUGCUGGGCUAAAGCUGUUCUCCUCUGACUUGGCGAAGUGAACUGGUACAUGUGUAAUCAAAUUGAAGGGUUGGAGCAACCAUCAGAAACAGGUUCAUUCAAUCAUCCAUUUGCCAAAUAAAUAUGUGUAUUCAGUGGCUGCCAUGUGUCUGGUACUGCCCUGGGCACUCGGGAUACUCGUAAAUUAAAUGUGUCUGACAUAAUUUCCAGACAUGGGCGUUCACUGGCUCGCAUUCUGUUUGGGACCAUUCUAAAUGUUCUAAAUUAUGUUUACCAGGGAACCAAAUGAGCAAAACUUUGCAAAAUAAUUCCAAGCCCCUUGCUGGAAAGCACCAGGUGAGUGUAGUCCACACAUCUAUGAUACACUGCAAAGGUUCCGAGGUCCUGAGAAGCUUCCAUCCAAAGAAGAGGAAGUCCAUUCCUUCCUGCCCUUCCUCUCCUUCCACCUCCCAUUCCUUCCCUCCUGGCAUCAUCCACUCUCAAGAGGAGAACCAGACCCCCUAAAAUAAUUAAUGCACUGACAUUCCUUUUUUUUUUGCUUUUCUGGAGAAAGCACUGAUUGAACAAGCAUUGGUAGAGGGCUCUACUGUUACACAAAUCUCUCCUGUGCACGUUAUUUCCUUUGAUCUGUGCAAGAAAGGGCAAAGAUGACAGAUUUGGGCGCUUUCCACAGACAGCAAACUGAGACCGAGAGUGGUUCUGGAAUCGGCUGGUCAUGCAACCACUACUCAACUUGGGUCUCCUAAAUCUAAAGUUCUCUCUUUUACUUAUAGCCUUCCUUGGCCUAGUGUUUCCACAAAACCUCAUGCUUCACAGCUGAGGCUAUGUAGAAGUUGGGUUUCUGAGGGAAAGUCUGCAGGAUAAGAGAGAGAUAAGCCAUAUGACCAUCUUUCCUUGUGAGUGUUCCACAAUGCAGAGAAAGACAAAUACUGUGAAACACCAUCAUCAUGAAGUGAAGGGAAGGGAAGGAACAGCAAAGUGGUAGUUUUGGGGUCAGGAAGGGGGUGGCCAAACUGUCCAGACAUGGACCAGCCAACUUAGCGCCCCAGCCAACUGACGUGGCCCUCACUGACCCAGAGCCUGCAGGCUCCCAACCCUUCUCAGGCUCACGGACAAUGUGAGCACAGCCUCAGGCACAAUUCCUCCUCUCUCCCACCACCCUGAGACUUUCCUCAGAUGGAAUGAAACAGGCAGCAAAAGGAAGGGCAUUCUACAUCUUUUCUACUAGGUUGGCUCCCGUAGCGGCUUAUUAUGAUUCCUGUCUGGGUUAGUUCUGCAUCCAGGCUUGGGGACCUGUUUUUUCCAUAGAUCUCUAAGGAGCACACGUGGAAGGCAAGGCUUCCACUCCCCCAUCUUAAAGCCAUAUCUGACCCUGUCCUGCUGCUCCAACUCUCUGAUCACAGCAUCCUUCCCCAGCCUAGCUUUCAUCCCCUCCCUGGCCCAUCCCACUGGGAUGAUCACUGCCAGUCUUCCCCAAUAGAGCACUAUUCCUGGGGAUGCUUACUGCCUCCAAACGUAGUUUGCCAGCUGGAGGGGCCACUUGGAAGUGCAGUUAAAAUCGCACUGGAGCGGGGGAGGCGGCAGAGCCCCCGGGCAGCCACACUGAGAUGUUUUCUUCCCCUGGAGACAGGCGUUACUUUGCUUCGUGAAUCAUGCCGGUGAGGUCCUGUGACUCCUUCGUCUUAGUACAAUGUGCAUGUCGAACGUGACAAUAGCCAGUAGGGCCUGUCCCAUGUUCCAGCCAACCCCAGAGGAGGUUUUGUGAAACAGCACAGCAGUAUCACAUGUAGAAGGCUCAUCUACACAGUUUUAUGAACUCUUCUUAAAUCUAUGUUUUCCACUUGGUAUACUUCCAUGAAUCCAAAGAUAAUGUUAGAACUGGAACCCAGUUUACUGUUUGUACUGAAGAGGAAAUUGAAGCCCGGAUAGGUUAAGGAACAUGCCCGAGGUCGUUCAGCUAGUCUCUGGGUGAGCUGGACCCUGAAGCCAGGUUUCCAGGCUUUGCCACUUCAUCCCAGUGGUGUCCCGUAGCUGUUGCCUUCCUAGAGCAGGCAGGAGAGGACUCAGGCAGUACCCCCUGAAUGAGUGCCUGGAUGCCAGUAAAGUCCUCUUCCCUUUGAUUUGUCUGAGCACUGUCUUCUCUGGAUUUCAAAGGGAUCCUCCCUAGUUUGGCGUUCUGGAAUUUGGUGCAUGGGUCCAGGUUCAUGCUCCCUCUUCACUGCGUUGUCUGCCAUUCACUGCACAGACGUGGGUUGUGUGAUUACUAUAUGCCUGGUACCAUGCUGGGCUCUGGGGACACAGAGAAGAAGGAGCCCACGUCCCUUCCCAGAGCUGCUCUCCGUCUAGGAGUUAGUCUCCUAAACAGAGACAUUCAGGCCUCAAGGAGCUAAACGCCAUAGACACCAUAGCUAGACAGAGCCGUAGACAGGGUGCCCAAAGACUUUAAUUAUGCCUUUCGUUUCUUUUCAGAUGAAGAAAGACUGAGUCUUUGAUGUUAUAACAUUUUUGUUACUAUUGGGAAAAUAAUCACUCUUUUUCUGUUAAUGAUUCAGUCACCUACAGGCUGUAGAUAAAGAGCACGGUGUUGUACUUGGGGGCAAAGCUGUAAUACGAAGAGCUGGCUGCUUUUCCCUGGCCGUGUGCCAGCGUGAUGUGCCGCACCGGGUCUGUUGAGGCCCUUGGGAAGGUAGAGGAGAUGGUUAGAACACUUUUCAGUUAUAUAUGUGAAGAAUUUUUAUUUCUCAGAGGAGCAGGGUAAGACACGAGCUGGUUGUCUUUCACAGUGCCCGCUGGGUUAGUGCUCACAAUGCCAGGUCAUUAGGCCGUUUCCUCCAUUGCUGCCUCUUCCUCUAUCCUCAAAAGCCUACUCCAAGGCCAGCAGUUGCAUACUGACUCCUCCUCAUUUCCCGCUCCCUGGGAUACGCUCAGGAAGCCACUGGGUAUAAACCUAUGGCAGGAAUCCCCAGGGCCUGUGGAGGAGUAGAGAGAUUGGGCAUCCCCUUCUUCUCUUUGACAUCUGAGUUCACUUCCAAGCUUUCCGAAGGAAAGGGAGGCGUCCCAAAACGCACACAAGUUCACAAAAAUGUAGAUGGCUACUGAGGAUUCCAAAGGGCCUGCUCAUAAGUAGCCAAAUUUAGAAAGCAGGGUCACCAUAUGUGUUCUGAAAAAUGAUUUAUGUGACACAAAUUUACUGUGUACUUGGAAUAUCUAAACACUGUGCAUAGGAUGCAAAGAUGAGUAAGAAAAUCACUCCUUCCCUCCUUCAUUCAUUCAACCAUGUGUUCCUACUAUUGUGUCAGACAUUGUGCUGAUCACUGAGAAUUCAAAAAUAAGAUGCUCUCUCUAGACUAUAGUGUUGACAAUCUAAUGAGGACAGAGACAGGCAAAUGAGUGACAGCGGUCCUGAGCUGCGGAUUUUUGCGGUAGGUGUGGGGUGCCUUGGGGGCCUCUAGAAGGAAACACCAUCUGUGGUCUGGGAGAAAGACAUGAGUAAGAACGAGAGACAAGCGUUCCAGUGCAGGAGCACUCCAGUGCUUCCGGCAGCCGCCCAAUCAAAGAGAAAGUCGUGACCUCGGCAAGCGAAGUGUAGAAGUUCUCACCUUGACAAAGGUUGAGUUACCUUCAAGUUUCCAAAGCAUUCUCCAGCAAUUCCCUCCAGACAGCAGUUGAGCUAUGAACCUGGAAUUUAUUUGGUGGGGAUUUUCCCUCUCAAAAAUGCAACCGAACAUCCACAGAAGAAAGAUCAGCUUUUAAUAAAAGAAGCACAUUGUGCUAUUUGGUAAGUGAUGGGGGCAGGUGUAUGUGUGUGACUAUGUGUGUUUGUAGUGCACCUGUGUGCAAAGAAUUUUAAUUUCCCGAAGGAGCUGGAUAAAAUGCCUUUAAAGUCUCAUUCAACUGGGACAUUUUUUUUUUUGAAACCAGGGAAAAGCCAGUGCUGUGAUCUUCAAGGUGGGCUGAAGGAGCAUCUUCCCACUCCCAGUCCUUGGAGCCUGGGGUCACUCUUUACGUGGGAUACUGCCGCCCCGUGGCAGGAUACGUCCCUGCGCAUCGUAGCAUCAGUGGUUCAUAAGGAUUUCCAGUUUGCUGCCUGAGUAUUCCAAACGGAUUGCAUUCAGAGCUUCCCCUGACAGCCGGAUCUGGCUUUAAUUUUGAUAAAGUAAGUUUCAAAGGCUUGAGGGGGAGAAAGAGAGGAGUGGAAGAGACUGUUCUAUUGAGUGUCUGUUGACCCAUUAAAUACACGAGACAAGAGCUAAUCUUGUUCUACCUAGAGAACGAGUCCCUUCCUUUUCACUUUUCUGGCACAUUUAGCCCAGUCAAGAGCUAAUUAAAGUCCUUCCCAUUUCUUAAGGCUGCCUGUCUUCUGUGCAGUGCAUCCUGUCGUGCUUAUCUGCUUGGCUUCCAACUGCAGCUGGAUACAAAGAGGUCAUAGAUUACCUCCCACUCUUUGGAUGUGUCAGCUACUGUAUCUACAGGCCUUCUCACUGAGCGCUAACAACUGUGCCCAAGAUGUUUCUCGCUAUCUCAGAUCAGAUCCUUUGCUCAGCAAUGAGAGUGAGUGCUAUGCUGGGUUGGGUAAAACAUGGAGAGGCCACUAUAAAUGUCCCAAAGGAAGUGGCUACAAAUCACCACCCCAAUAUGUAGGUGGCGUGUUAGGAAAUUUUGACUGCAAGAAGCAAUUUUUUCUUAAAUUAUCUCAAGUCAUUCAUUCUUACAACAAUAUUUCUUAAGCACCUACUACGUACAAGUCACUGAGCUGGGGAAAGUUUUUUUGAAGGGGCCACAUGGCAGUAAGGGGUCAGGAGUCACAUGGGAGCUCCCAAACAGUCCUAAGGGGGGGCCUCGUGGAAAGUGGCAGUCAGGAUUCAUGAGUGAUCCCGAGAUGGGGGUAUCCGGCCACCCCCAAGGCUGUAGAAAAAAAUCAAGCCUCUGCCAUUAUGGUGAUUCAUUUGAUCCAUUUUUCUGCUCUUCCUGCUGCCAUACCUGCCUCCAUCCUUACCUACAGUUUCUGCUCACCCAUAACUACUGCUCACUCACAUCUUCUGCCCAUUCUGGGGUCUCAUGGCCCCUGCUACUUAAUGGCCUCUGCUUGCCUGCCUCCUUUGGGUGUCUUUUCAGUUUCUUCAUGUGCUACCAAGUGACUUCCUCCUUCCCUGUGUCUCCAGUUGGAUCCCUAAGCUGGAAAACUGAUGGUUUCAGCUAAGAUGUGUGUUCCCGCUGGGGCAAAGAUUUCACACAAGGCCAUGACAUAGGCUGCUGGUCAACCUUUGGGGCAGGAGAAAACGCAGGGGUAUGUCUGAGAAAGUCUGAUGCAAGAACUAAUGGGUAAAUUUUAUUCUGAGUUGGAGUUAUCCAUUCUCCAGAUGAAAAGGUAGGGGAAGAAUUCUCAAGAAAAGGGUUGGCAUGUGUAAAGUCUUCAAGUGGGAUGGAGUUUGGAACAGCCCGAGAGCUUGAAGCUGACUGGUGUGUCAGGAACGUGACAAGCAAGCAGGAGAUGAGGCUAGAGAGGUGGGCAGGGCUGGCACUAGGAUAGAGGGGGAACACAUGAGGACGGCAGGCAGAUGGCCAGUGCUGCUUAGGGAUCACACACUCUACUGACGGGUCACCAAGACCAGGAGUGGACAAUCUACAGCCCGUGGGCCAAACCUAGCCCACCGCCUGUUUUUGUACAAACCAAGCACCAUUUUUAUAUGUUUAAAUUUUUGAAAAAAAUCAAUAGAAGAAUACUAUUUCAUGAUGUCAAAUUUAUAUGCAAUUCAAAUUUCACUGUCCAUAAAUAAAAAGUUUUAUUGGAAUUUACCAACCGUCCCAAUUUGCCCAGACUACCUCAGUUUAGCACUGAAAGUCUUAGAGCCUGGAAAAGCCCUCAGUCCCAGGCAAAUGGGGAUGUUGGUCACCUGGCACACAGCCAGGCUCAUCUAUUUCCAUAUUGUCUACAGCUGUGUUCACGCUCCGACGGCAGAGUUGAGUAGUUAUGACAGAGGCCAUAGGGCCUGCAAAGCCUGAAAUAUUUACUAUCUGGCCAUUUAUAGAAAAGUUUGCUGAUUCUUGAUUAAGACCAAAGAAGAGUAAAUAAUUUAUCUGAUAAGUUAUCUAAUAUAACUGAUUGUUGUUGUCACAAGAGUGUUGACCCUGCCUAUUUAUUUUCUCCAUUGGAACCUGAUUCAUUUUUAAAACCUAAAUUAGAUCAUGUCACUCUGCUGCUCAAGAGCCUUCAAUGGCUCCCCAUCCCACUGGGAAUAAAACCUAAGGAUCACUUACAUCCUUCUCAAACAGACUUCAUCUCCUGCUCUUCCAUGCCAUGCCCACUCCCUUGCUGAUUCUCAAACAAGCCAAGUGCCCUCCUGCCUCCGGACCUUUGCACUUGCUGUUCCCUCCCUCUAGACCCUUUCUCCCAGAUAUAUGCAUACCUCGCUCCUUCACAUCAUUCUGUUCCUAUUCAAAGUCGUCUUUUCAGUGAAGCCUUCCCCCUCAUUUAGCAUUCUCCAUCUCCAGACAUCACUUAUCCAUUUGUUGAUUUUCUGUGUCCACACUAGAAGGCCAGACACUUGAGGACAGGGACGUUGCUGUAUCCCCAGCUCACAGAACAGUGCCAAUCACAUGGUGGGUUUGUGACAAUUAUUUAUUGGAUAAAUAAAAGGUUGGUAAAGUCCAAGAAUUUUAUGCACGUGUCCAGGGCCAUGUCCCAACUCAUUGGACCAUAUUACUGCUAAUCAAUAUUUCAUUUUAGCCAACAUCCAUCCUGUUACAAUUAUGUGGCUGCCUGUGUCUGUCGCCCACUGGCUUCUUUUCC
RNAcentral lists this long non-coding RNA (8182 nucleotides) under Equus caballus (horse). RNAcentral describes it as "lncRNA (ENSECAG00000030175.3)". The stretch from base 597 to 669 matches the Rfam family "mir-122 microRNA precursor family". Lineage: Eukaryota; Metazoa; Chordata; Mammalia; Perissodactyla; Equidae. The record is from RNAcentral.